This 1189-nucleotide unclassified non-coding RNA is filed under the name Hevea brasiliensis (rubber tree). The record is from RNAcentral. Lineage: Eukaryota; Viridiplantae; Streptophyta; Magnoliopsida; Malpighiales; Euphorbiaceae.
AGUAAGUCAGUCACAUGUGUCAAUAUAUUCAUUAUAUGUAUUUUUAAUCUCUCUCUGGGACAUUUUUCCCUAUUUGUUUUGUCAAAUCUGGUGUUUAUACCCCAUUUAAUAUUCUAUAAAGAGUUAGUCUUAAUUUGUGGGUAGGUAAAUCAAACCUUAAGUUACUGAUAUGAAGCUUUGUAAAAUCAGUUUUUUAACAAUGCUAUUAGUUGCAUGUUUUUGGAAAUAAUUAGUAUAUUUGAGAAAACUCAAUGAAUAAAACAGAACUAGCAGAACUAUUGAUAUUUAUGUAAGAAUGUUAUUUGUCAUAGUUCUAAGAAUUGGUGCUUUUGGGUCAUUGGUUAGAAUUGGAAAAGAAAUACCUAAUAAGGUUUGUUCACUGGCUGCAUCACUUGAGUUUACUGGUUUGCUUCCUCAUAGAAUUUUUCGAACUUUCUAUAUUUAUGGUUUUUGUUUUUUCAAAUUAGGUAAGUCUUCUGCAAGUCUUGAAUGGCCCUCACACACAGAUACAUAUUUAUUUAUUUGUAGAUUAUUUUAUAUUGAGUCAAUUAGAGUCCUUAGUUUGGAACAAUUGCUAGGAUAUGUAUAGACAUAUCAAUAAACUUUCAUUUCUAGGUGUGAAUAUUUUUGGAAUAGAAAAUUAGAUAGAGCAUGUUGCUCUUCUUUCAGUGUGAUUAUGGCUUUCAAAUAUGCUCUCAUGGCAUGAUUUUAAAUUGUGAUUGAAGGAUUGCAAUGUUGGCAUGUUGUGUGUAAAGUGCAAUGUUCUUGAGUGGUUAUAUCAUGAAAUUCUUUAAAGGCUUAAUACAUAAAUUUUCUCUUGAACUAAUUGUGAAAAGUCUAUUGGACCUUCAACCUUGUAUUCCAACUUAUUGCAUCCAUAAAUUUUUUAUUUUUGACUUAUUGCAAUCUUAAACUUUUAACGUUUUAUAACCAUUACAUGAUAUGCUUAACUCAUCAAUGAAUAAUAAGAAUACAUUAUCAUAUAUUGUUUGAAGUAAAGAGAUAUAAAGUCAUGUAUUUAUCCAUUAUUUAUUGACAAGCAACUAAAAUCAUGCCUAUUGGUUGAUAAAAACUGUAAAGUGCAAUAGACCAGAAUAAAAAUAUAAGAGUGUGAUAGCUCGAAAUAGAAGGUCAGAGAUGCAAUAGAAUUUUCUUAACUAGUUCAAGGAAAAAUUUAUAUAUUUGGCCU